Molecule: long non-coding RNA, 1825 nt
Organism: Xiphophorus couchianus (Monterrey platyfish)
Lineage: Eukaryota; Metazoa; Chordata; Actinopteri; Cyprinodontiformes; Poeciliidae
Exons: 2
Source: RefSeq, a predicted model, not a curated record
AAAAACCUCUCAACGCAAGUCAACAUGUUCAAAUAGUUAUAGUUUCUAAAAAAGACAGACUGAGAUCUCUUGAAGUUUGUGUUGCCUGGAACGCCAAUUAAACCUGACAGGAUGUAUUCAUUCAUUUUAAUGCAGGGUUGCAUCUGGAAAAUAAUAGGCAAUAAUAAAAUACAUAUAUUACUCACUAUUUACAAAACUGACCCGAGGUUUUAAGUGACCUAGGCUGCUGCCCAGGUACGUCAAGCCAGCAGGGGGCCACCGAGUCCUCUGUAAUUCUUAAACAGUACAGUAACUCAGAACUUUAGUCUGUAGUGAAGUUAAAAACAAAUACAAGCACCCAUGCACAUACACCCAUAUCUAUCUAUAUCUAUAUAUCUUUACUUUCUGUUCUGUCUGAGCUGAGGUCAUAUUUCAUGCUUACUGUAACUAUUUGCAUAUAGCUCCACAUUCAACCUGAGGCCAACCCUAAUAAUCUAUCAUGUCAAGGCAGUACUAUUUCAUUCUUAUGCAAUGUUGUGCACAGCUAACAAAGUAAACUACAAUAGCCUAUAUACUGUAUAUAUAUGUAUGUACAUGUAUGUACUGUAUGUAUGUAUGUAUGUAUGUAAAUAUACUGUAAAUAUACUCCUAAUCUUUCCAUGGUGUGUGGUAAUGACUUUAAUUAGGCUUUCAGUCUCAAACGGGCCUUGAUAACAUAUUAAUCUGCUCCGUCUCUCUGACAUGUAACUGUGUGCCUUUGAAUUGACGGCUGUUUCUGUUUCCCCCUCCUUCUGCACUGAACAGAUUUUACAUUGUUCCUUUCAUGCAAAUGUCUACCUGUGUGAUUGUCUCAUUACUUCAGGGUCGUAAAUCUCAGCUGGUGAGGAUUAUCAGUUGCGUCCACUAUUCCGGUAAGCCGGCUAACGACAUUUCCGUAAGCCAAAUCCUGAAACUAUCGGUUUCCUUCUGACUGGCAGAUGGGAGGUUGUUCAUACGGAAUUCCCCCGUUUAGAAAGGCACUUAAGUCGGCAACCUAUAGCGACUGCGCCAGUCACUCGCCGGAGAAGUCUGGGAGACGUUUGCGCACGCUGGCGGCUCCGGGUGCAGCGCCUGGUGCUGUGUGGAAAAGUUCAAGUAGACUUGCAUCAUUGUACUUGACGGAAGUCUGCGUACUUCCCACUCGAGGAAUCUCUUCUUGCAAAAAGCAAACUCGCGCACUUACUGCAGACCUCCUCACUCAGUCCAAUUAUGCUCUGCAAAGAGCACAUCAACGUAAGUAAGUCUGCUGAUAUUGUUAGCAAAGCACUUUUUUUUGCAGCCCCUCUCCCCUACAUCCUACCCAAAUUCUUCUGAUAUCUACUUCAAUGUGUGGGAACCAUGCCCAGCUUGGUAAGUCUGCACAAGUAUUUCUGAGAAAAAAAGAGGAAAACUAUUUUAUGUUCCUCAUUCUUUUUCUUGUUUAGCUUUAUAGAGCAUGUCUUCAUGUUUCAGUCAUGCUGAACUGUCUCUAUAAGUUGGUAUGUGAAAGUGUUCUGCAUGGAUUAAACCAAAUACAUCUAAAAAAAAAAAAAAGCAUUUUGUUUUGCUCAGGUUAUGCCUUAACAUGAUAGUUUGCUAAAUAAUACAUCAUUCCACUGUGACUGUCAUGAAGUGGGGGUGUAGAUAGUGAGGAGAAAAGCGGUAAACCCAGGUGGAAGUGAAGGCAAUGAUGAUUUAACGAUGAAAGUCUCGAUAAUCCAGACAGCACAGAUGAGCAGAGGCAAGGGCUCACACUGGUAGUAACUGGACUCGACUUGAAGACACAGACUGGUACGAGAAGGACCCGACAAAGACACAGAAACACAGG